AUCUACAGCCAUACAAUCCUGAAUGUGCCUGAUCUUGUCUGAUCUUGAAAGCUAAGCAGAGUCAGGCGUGGUAGGUA
Molecule: ribosomal RNA, 77 nt
Filed under: Castor canadensis (American beaver)
Lineage: Eukaryota; Metazoa; Chordata; Mammalia; Rodentia; Castoridae
Source: RNAcentral